Molecule: ribosomal RNA, 380 nt
Filed under: uncultured eukaryote
Lineage: Eukaryota
Description: partial 18S ribosomal RNA
Rfam family: Eukaryotic small subunit ribosomal RNA
Source: RNAcentral
CAAUAGCGUAUAUUAAAGUUGUUGCAGUUAAAAAGCUCGUAGUUGGAUUUGUGGCGUACGGUGUGUUCCGGGCACUUGUUGUCUGAGUAACCUGCUGUUGCCAUCCUUGGGUGGAACCUGUGUGGCAUUAGGUUGUCGUGCAGGGGAUGCCCAUCAUUUACUGUGAAAAAAUUAGAGUGUUCAAAGCAGGCUUAUGCCGUUGAAUAUAUUAGCAUGGAAUAAUGAGAUAGGACUUUUUUGCUAUUUUGUUGGUUUGCGCAAAGAGGUAAUGAUUAAUAGGGACAGUUGGGGGUAUUCGUAUUCCAUUGUCAGAGGUGAAAUUCUUGGAUUUUUGAAAGACGAACUACUGCGAAAGCAUUUACCAAGGAUGUUUUCAUUAA